Molecule: long non-coding RNA, 1415 nt
Filed under: Capra hircus (goat)
Lineage: Eukaryota; Metazoa; Chordata; Mammalia; Artiodactyla; Bovidae
Description: lncRNA (ENSCHIG00010024787.1)
Source: RNAcentral
AUGGUUGGUUGUCAUUGUCUUAAUAGACGAGGGAGCCCAGGCUCAGAAGCUUCUGAAAUUUGCUCAGGGUCAUCAGAGAGACCUUCACCAGGACUCCAAUGGGCUCUGCCAGGCUCUGCAAAGACCUUGCUUUUUCCUUUGCAUGAGUCACCAAGAAGUCCUGGAAUGGAGUUGCUGAGUGGAAGUGGAGGCAUCAAGAUCCCGGGGGGACCUUGGAUGACGCUGGGUCCCAAGCUGAAGUAUCUGUGGAAGGUGAAGGCCACUAGGCAUUCUCCUGGUGGCCCCACAAAUACUGAGCUGUCUUGCUGCUUACAGUGGGGACAGCAAGCAGAGCAGCUGAUUUUCCUUGGAAAUGUCUACAAUUCUGGCAAAAGCUGCCCUGCGGGUGUUAUCUAUCCCUGCUAUAAGGUAAUGGGAAGGCAGUGGGAGUCAGCAUCUUAUUGGAAUGAAUACAGAAUUCAAAGAUAGUCGGACAUGUAUUCAAAUCCCAGCUCCAAGGACUCUCUUGGUGGCCCAGUGGCUAAGACUCUGCACUCCUAAUGGAGGGGGCCUGGGUUUGACCCCCAGUCAGGGAUCUAGAUCCCACAUGCUACAACUAAGAGUUCUCAUGCUUCAAUUAAAGAUCCCACAUGCCAUAACUAAGACCCAGCACAACCAAAUGAAGAAAAGAAAAGAAAAAUCCCGGCUCCAAGUCUCAAGCUGGGUAGCCUGGGUAAAGUACUUCCCACUGGCCCUUGGUUUGCUUGUCUGAAGACAAGGAUGAUCAUAAUCACCCAGCCUCCAGGGACUCCAGAGAGUGGUCACUAGAGCCAGUCAGUCAACGCACGGGGCUCAAUUCAGAGUCAGGUAGACUUGGCCUUCAUAGUUGUUGAAAUGAACAAGGGGGUAUUUGGAUGAUUCACUGCCCAAAGGAGGAAAACCAACCUAACAUCCGCCUAACAGAGGAGAGCAGCCUGCUCUGGGCCACUACUGGGGAGUUCUUCCGCUCCCCAUCCCCUUCCCCCUCAUCACUUGUUUGUGGUCUACACCACAUACAAUUUUCAUGGAUCAUAAAAUCCUCCAAGCUGGCCCCAUGUGAGCCCUUUGACAACAUUCUCAUAGCUGUCACCCAGCACCACACACAGAGAACACAUUAAGUCCCUGCUUAUUGACUGAGUCAGUGUUGGAGUCCCUGCUUGAGUCCCUGCUUUCUGGCCUUUACAGAGCUUCUAGCUACUAAUACUUGUCCUCUCACAUGGAAUCCAUUCCUUACCCAGGCCUUUUCAAACAGGGAACUUGUCCUGGGCCCCUGGCCAUUGUUUUUUUUCAGGCCUUCAUCACUUCCCAGGUGGCUCAGGUUGUGGAUUUCAUAGCAAGGCCAUAGAAUGUGAGAUCCAGACUGUUUUUUUUUCAUGGCUUCUGCCAGCCCUGCUCUU